GAACUAAAGGAUUAACGUAAGACCUUAAUUUAGUUC
This 36-nucleotide non-coding RNA is filed under the name unclassified sequences. The record is from Rfam.